This 498-nucleotide ribosomal RNA is filed under the name uncultured bacterium. RNAcentral's name for it is "partial 16S ribosomal RNA". It matches the Rfam family "Bacterial small subunit ribosomal RNA", at positions 28 to 507 of the family's 1533-position model. The record is from RNAcentral.
GACGAACGCUGGCGGCGUGCCUAAUACAUUCAAGUCGAACGAGAGCGACCGGUGCUUGCACUGGUCAAUCUAGUGGCGAACGGGUGAGUAACACGUGGGUAACCUGCCCAUCAGAGGGGGAUAACAUCCGGAAACGGAUGCUAAAACCGCAUAGGUCUUCGAGCCGCAUGGCUUGAAGAGGAAAAGAGGCGCAAGCUUCUGCUGAUGGAUGGACCCGCGGUGCAUUAGCUAGUUGGUGAGGUAACGGCUCACCAAGGCCGUGAUGCAUAGCCGACCUGAGAGGGUGAUCGGCCACAUUGGGACUGAGACACGGCCCAAACUCCUACGGGAGGCAGCAGUAGGGAAUCUUCCGCAAUGGACGCAAGUCUGACGGAGCAACGCCGCGUGAGUGAAGAAGGUUUUCGGAUCGUAAAACUCUGUUGUUAGAGAAGAACAAGUGCUAGAGUAACUGUUAGCGCCUUGACGGUAUCUAACCAGAAAGCCACGGCUAACUACGUG